GUUUUGAUUAUGGCUCAGAUUGAACGCUGGCGGGAUGCUUUACACAUACAGUGAACGGCGGCACGGACUUUGGUCUGGUGGCGGGUGACGAUGGAGCUGAACAAUGCGCAUCCGGAACGUGCCUAGUAGCGGGGAUAACUACGCGGCAUGGCUAAUACCGCAUACGCCCUUCGGGGAAAGCAGGGGACCUUCCGGGCCUCUCGCACUAUUAAACGGCCGAUAUCCGGAUUAGUAGUUGGUGGGAAUGGCAGCGGCUCGCAAGGCGACGAUCCGUAGCCUGGAUGGUUUGAGGACGACCAGCCACACUGGGACUGGGGCCGGCCCCAGACUCUGGAGGCGUAAUUGAAAUUUUGGACAAUGGGGAAACCCUGAUCCAGCCAUCCCGCGUGCGAUGAAGGCCUUCGGGUUUAAAGACGCACGGCGGGGAAAGAAACGGCAGGAUAAUACCCGUGCAACUGACGUCUGCAGAAUGGCACCAGCUAACUACGUGCCAGCAGCCGCCCGGUAUUACGUAGGGUGCAAGCGUUAAUCGGAAUUACUGGGCGUAAAGCGUGCGCGAGCGGUUCGGAAAGAAAGAUGUGAAAUCCCAGGCUUAACUUUGGAACUGCAUUUUUAACUACCGAGCUGAGAGUGUGUCAGGAAGUGGAAUUGCGUGUAGCGGUGAAAUGCGUAGAUAUGCGGAGGAACACCGAUGGCGAAGGCAGCCUCCUGGGAUAACACUGACGCUCAUGCACGAAGGCGUGGGGAGCAAACGGAUUAGAUACCCUGGUAGUCCACGCCCUAAACGAUGUCAACUAGCUGUUGGGCCUUCGGGCCUUGGUAGCGCAGCUAACGCGUGAAGUUGACCGCCUGGGAAGCCACGGUCGCAAGAUUAAACUCAAAAUUGACGGGGACCCGCACAAGCGGUGGAUGAUGUGGAUUAAUUCGAUGCAACGCGAAAAACCUUACCUACCCUUGACAUGUCUGGAAUCCCGAAGAGAUUUGGGAGUGCUCUAUGAAGGCCAGGACACAGGUGCUGCAUGGCUGUCGUCGGCUCGUGUCGUGAGGAUGUUGGGUUCGUCCCGCAACGAGCGCAGCCCUUGUCAUUAGUUGCUACGAAGGGCACUCUAAUGAGACUGCCGGUAAUAAGCCGGAGGAAGGUGGGGAUGACGUCAAGUCCUCAUGGCCAUAUGGGUGGGCUUCACUGCGUCAUACAAUGGUCAGGACAGAGGGUCGCCAACCGCGAGAGGGAGCCAAUCAGAAACCCGAUCGUAGUCGAGGAUCGCAGUCUGCAACUCGACUGUGAAGUCGGAAUCGCUAUUAAUCGCGGAUCAGCAUGUCGCGGUGAGGCCGUUCCCGGGUCUUGUACACACCGCCCGUCACUUGUGGAGUGGGUUUACCAAGUAGUUAGCCUAACCAUGGAGGGCGAUUACACAGUAGGAUUCAUUGGGGUGAAGUCGUAACAAAGGUAA
This 1451-nucleotide ribosomal RNA is filed under the name uncultured Bordetella sp. RNAcentral describes it as "partial 16S-23S ribosomal RNA intergenic spacer". It matches the Rfam family "Bacterial small subunit ribosomal RNA". The record is from RNAcentral. Lineage: Bacteria; Pseudomonadati; Pseudomonadota; Betaproteobacteria; Burkholderiales; Alcaligenaceae.